This 35-nucleotide non-coding RNA is filed under the name unclassified sequences. Its description in RNAcentral is "DUF805b RNA". It matches the Rfam family "DUF805b RNA". Rfam says of the family: Bacteroidetes, Chlorobi (1 example), Proteobacteria. Lineage (Flavobacteria) The record is from RNAcentral.
AGAGAGGAAUCCGAAAAUCUCAGAUAGAGUAGGAA